RNAcentral lists this ribosomal RNA (480 nucleotides) under uncultured bacterium. RNAcentral's name for it is "bacterial SSU rRNA". It matches the Rfam family "Bacterial small subunit ribosomal RNA", at positions 28 to 526 of the family's 1533-position model. The record is from RNAcentral.
GACGAACGCUGGCGGCGUGCUUAACACAUGCAAGUCGAGCGGUAAGGCCCUUCGGGGUACACGAGCGGCGAACGGGUGAGUAACACGUGGGUGACCUGCCCCCAACUCUGGGAUAAGCCCGGGAAACUGGGUCUAAUACCGGAUAUGACCUCUCAUCGCAUGGUGGGUGGUGGAAAGUUUUUCGGUUGGGGAUGGGCCCGCGGCCUAUCAGCUUGUUGGUGGGGUGAUGGCCUACCAAGGCGACGACGGGUAGCCGGCCUGAGAGGGCGACCGGCCACACUGGGACUGAGACACGGCCCAGACUCCUACGGGAGGCAGCAGUGGGGAAUAUUGCGCAAUGGGCGAAAGCCUGACGCAGCGACGCCGCGUGGGGGAUGACGGCCUUCGGGUUGUAAACCUCUUUCGCCAGGGACGAAGCGCAAGUGACGGUACCUGGAUAAGAAGCACCGGCCAACUACGUGCCAGCAGCCGCAGUAAAAC